Dictyocaulus viviparus (bovine lungworm) is the source of this 73-nucleotide non-coding RNA. NCBI's taxonomy places the organism in Eukaryota, Metazoa, Nematoda, Chromadorea, Rhabditida, Metastrongylidae. The record is from Rfam.
GCCUCGGUAGUGUAAUGGAUCAGCACGGCAGACCGGAUAUCAGUAAGCGCGGGUUCGAGUCUCGCCUGAGGUU